UACGGGGGGGGCAAGCGUUGUUCGGAAUUACUGGGCGUAAAGCGCGCGCAGGCGGUCCUUUAAGUCUGAUGUGAAAGCCCACGGCUCAACCGUGGAGGGUCAUUGGAAACUGGGGGACUUGAGUACAGAAGAGAAGAGUGGAAUUCCACGUGUAGCGGUGAAAUGCGUAGAGAUGUGGAGGAACACCAGUGGCGAAGGCGACUCUUUGGUCUGUAACUGACGCUGAGGCGCGAAGGUCAGGGGAGCAAACGGG
Molecule: ribosomal RNA, 253 nt
Filed under: uncultured bacterium
Lineage: Bacteria
Description: partial 16S ribosomal RNA
Rfam family: Bacterial small subunit ribosomal RNA
Source: RNAcentral